Molecule: long non-coding RNA, 635 nt
Filed under: Equus caballus (horse)
Lineage: Eukaryota; Metazoa; Chordata; Mammalia; Perissodactyla; Equidae
Description: lncRNA (ENSECAG00000057772.1)
Source: RNAcentral
GGCCUACACAGGGUCAGGAUCAUCAAUGUCACUGUCUUCUACCCCCACAUCUUGUCCCACUGGAAGGUCUGAGGGGCAAUAAUAUGCAUUGUGCUGUCAUCCCCUGUCAUAGCAAUGCUUUCUUCUGGAAUACCUCCUGAAGGACCUGCCUGAAGCUCUUCUCCAGGAGGUGCCACUCUUUUCAGAAAUGUGUCCAUGUCCACAGUCAAAUUUGAGUUUCAGCUAUCAACAACUGCACAAGAUACUAAUCCUUGAGGAAGGACCUAGUUUCUGCCUUGGGUGAGAGUUAAACUGGGGUCAAGGUGGGUCUCAACCAAGAACCUAGAAGAGUAGAGGGACUUCCUCCCCCAGGAUCAGCCAAUUCCUAGAGAUAGGAAAACACUGGCCAGCAAGUGCAACUCUCCUAUACAAAGUAAUCAAUCAAGAGCUCACACUCCAGCCAUCUCUUUUUUUGGUUCUUGCACUGUGGGCCACUAUUCCCCUGCCUUAAUCACACCAGAGCCAGGAACCAAACAACUAAGGACAGCCCCUCUACCCCAGAGCCCACUGAAAUUAUUCAAACCGGCCAAUUCUAAACCUGCUUUCCCUGUCUUGCCCAUUACUUCCUGUGGAAACCACAAUAAAGGAUCUUGCCC